Molecule: ribosomal RNA, 716 nt
Filed under: Escherichia coli
Lineage: Bacteria; Pseudomonadati; Pseudomonadota; Gammaproteobacteria; Enterobacterales; Enterobacteriaceae
Description: partial 23S ribosomal RNA
Rfam family: Bacterial large subunit ribosomal RNA
Source: RNAcentral
GUUAAGCGACUAAGCGUACACGGUGGAUGCCCUGGCAGUCAGAGGCGAUGAAGGACGUGCUAAUCUGCGAUAAGCGUCGGUAAGGUGAUAUGAACCGUUAUAACCGGCGAUUUCCGAAUGGGGAAACCCAGUGUGUUUCGACACACUAUCAUUAACUGAAUCCAUAGGUUAAUGAGGCGAACCGGGGGAACUGAAACAUCUAAGUACCCCGAGGAAAAGAAAUCAACCGAGAUUCCCCCAGUAGCGGCGAGCGAACGGGGAGCAGCCCAGAGCCUGAAUCAGUGUGUGUGUUAGUGGAAGCGUCUGGAAAGGCGCGCGAUACAGGGUGACAGCCCCGUACACAAAAAUGCACAUGCUGUGAGCUCGAUGAGUAGGGCGGGACACGUGGUAUCCUGUCUGAAUAUGGGGGGACCAUCCUCCAAGGCUAAAUACUCCUGACUGACCGAUAGUGAACCAGUACCGUGAGGGAAAGGCGAAAAGAACCCCGGCGAGGGGAGUGAAAAAGAACCUGAAACCGUGUACGUACAAGCAGUGGGAGCACGCUUAGGCGUGUGACUGCGUACCUUUUGUAUAAUGGGUCAGCGACUUAUAUUCUGUAGCAAGGUUAACCGAAUAGGGGAGCCGAAGGGAAACCGAGUCUUAACUGGGCGUUAAGUUGCAGGGUAUAGACCCGAAACCCGGUGAUCUAGCCAUGGGCAGGUUGAAGGUUGGGUAAC